UUUUUUUUUUUUUUUUUGGCGUGAAAAGUGUUUAAGUCGAGUCUAUAAAUAAUGAUUUGCCACAACUAAUGUAGAGAUAUAAACUAAUAAGAUCAAUCAAAACAGGGAUGAGAAGGAGUCCUCUUUGUUGACUGGACCAACCCACAAGCAGCAGAAGGUAUGGUAUGGUAUGGUGCGUUUUCAUUCUGUAUCUUUUUCCAGCCUUCCACAGCGGGAUGGAAUUUGAGUUGGUGAAUUGGGGGGGGGGGGGAGAGGUUGCUGUCAUUCAAUAAACUGUCUUCUAGACCAAACGGAAAACGGAGAAGAAGGAAAAGACGCGUCGUUGGAUUGGUACGAGCAGCAUUCUGCAUUCCUCAUUGAUAUCAUAACUUGACUUUAGAUUGCGACUGAAUUAAAUUAUCGAUAUCUGCUGUCAAAUUACUUGAAUUCCUUGAUUUGAUAGGAACGUAUGAUUCGUUCUCCAUGAUGAAGAAUUUAUGUUCAUCAGAUUCCCUGCAAGAUCCUUGGGACAAAAUUAAAAAUCCAAGAAAGUAAAGAAACAGGGGAACGAGAGCAGUCGCAUUUUUAUUGCAAGUCAUUCUUGACUUGUGAAUGUCACGACCAACAGACUAAGCAGGAAUCCUGUGAAAGAAAGGUUCUUGCUUUGAUGCUUUUGAACCUUUGUCACGGCGUCUGCCCCACGCAUUACAUUACACAACCAGAUGAGCUGUGUUUCAUGUGAAGAACUGAUGAUAGACUGGAGUUAGUUGCCAUAGAAAAUUUUCACUCCAAAGGUGGAAGGAAAACAAAUCUAAAACUGGAAAUCCGCAAAAUAACACUUAAAAACUUUAUUAUAGUAAACAAUUUUCAUUUUUAUUUUUCCCCUUUCUGAAACAGGUUUCUCUGGACAUGCUAAGGCAGUUGUCUUUAGUGAAAACAAGCAAGCUCUCUCUUAUGGGAAUCUCGACCACCUGGCUGGUAAGCAGG
This 966-nucleotide long non-coding RNA is filed under the name Coffea arabica (coffee). RNAcentral's name for it is "long non-coding RNA (CARA_LNC006116)". The record is from RNAcentral. Lineage: Eukaryota; Viridiplantae; Streptophyta; Magnoliopsida; Gentianales; Rubiaceae.